Molecule: non-coding RNA, 539 nt
Organism: Meriones unguiculatus (Mongolian gerbil)
Lineage: Eukaryota; Metazoa; Chordata; Mammalia; Rodentia; Muridae
Source: the annotation of a RefSeq genome assembly
UCCUGAGGAGGAGGAUGUGUGGCACUUCCCUCCCCGACUCUGCCGGGGGCUCUGCCCUGCUCUGUUGGGUUGCUGUCUUUCUCCUGGGAACAAGUGCAGCAAGUACUGGGGUUGUCCAGUCUCCAAGACACAUAAUCAAAGAAAAGGGAGGAAGGUCCAUUCUGAAGUGUAUUCCCAUCUCUGGACAUUAUAAUGUGCUCUGGUACCAACAGACUCAGGGGAGGGAACUGAAGUUCCUCAUUCAGCAUUAUGAAAAAAUGGAGAGAGAGAAAGGCAGCAUCCCCAACCGAUUCUCAGUGCAGCAGUUCAGUGACUAUCACUCUGAGAUGAACAUGAGUGCCUUGGAGCUGGAGGACUCUGCUGUGUACUUCUGUGCCAGCUCACCACAGCCAUGGGACCAGCAAACCUUUGGGUCAGGGAGGAGAAUGUCCUUUUUGAGUUGGUCAGAUCCUGUCCCCAGCUUUUCACAUGGAGCUCUGCUGACCCCCUUUCUCUUAACUUCUGCUUUUGAGUCAUUCCUCACCAUCACAGGGUUAUAG